UGGAGAGGCAAGCCGACAGCCGGCGACGGCACCCGGAUGGAACCCGGACGAGAUCGCUAGAUCCUUGGGAGUUCGACCCUCCCCCUCUCCGU
This 92-nucleotide transfer RNA is filed under the name Enhygromyxa salina. RNAcentral describes it as "tRNA-Ser". The record is from RNAcentral. Lineage: Bacteria; Pseudomonadati; Myxococcota; Nannocystales; Nannocystaceae.